RNAcentral lists this long non-coding RNA (1303 nucleotides) under Arachis ipaensis. Its description in RNAcentral is "long non-coding RNA (AIPA_LNC002345)". The record is from RNAcentral. Lineage: Eukaryota; Viridiplantae; Streptophyta; Magnoliopsida; Fabales; Fabaceae.
AACACCACUUGUUCCUGCUCGCGAGUACUAUUUCCUAAGGUACUGCAAGAAGCUCCAAGAUGGGAGAUGGGUGGUGGUCGAUGCUUCCCUGGAAACUUCACAACCAAAUGCAACAAUCCCUCCGACCCGAAGAAGGCCCUCUGGUUGCCUGAUUCAGGCAUCUCCAGAUGGUUACUCAACAAAGGUACAUACCUACUUACUUGUCAUCAUCAUUUCCUCAAAUCAAUAUGAACAUAGCUUCCAAGUUCCAACAACGAUGAGAUAAUUAAUAAUAUUCAAUUCGUUUCAGGUUACCUGGGUUGAACAUGUAGAAGUGGAUGACAGAGCACUAAUGGUGAAUAGUAUGUAUAAGCCUCUAGUUGAAUCUGGCUUAGCCUUUGGAGCUAGACGCUGGGUCGCACAAUUAGAUAGAAGAUGCGAACGUAUUGCAAGUGCAGUACAAUCCACCACCAUACUGCAACAACAAGAAGACCAACUUAGUGGUAUAUACAUAUCUAAUAUACACAUCAUUUUUAAGCUAUGAUUUGAUACUGAUGCAUGCAUGUUUAUACACAGUGACGAGUGUUGAGGGCAAAAAGGGGUUGGUGAAGCUGGCAGAGAGAAUGGUUAUGGACUUUUUAAGUGGUGUUGGUGCUUCAACAGUAGAAAAUUGGGCAAUCGUAACUCCAUCAACAAAUCACAGCAAUAUAAGAAUCAUAACCAGAAAGGUUGAGGACGAUCCAGGUAGACCUUCCGGUAUAGUUAUCGGUGCCGCAACUUGUUUCCACCUCGCAGUUCCUCCAAACAGCUUCUUUGAUAGGGUUCGAACUGCAAACGCAAGAGCAGAGGUAAGCGUGCCUCAAAUUGCAAUUAAACUUCAAUUCAACAACCUUCAAAUUUAAUUCCCCUAAACUUUGUUACAGUGGGAUGUUCUCUGUACCGGAGGUGUUGCUGAGGAAUUUGCACACAUAAAAAAUGGUCGCGACCCUGGGAACUGUAUCACAUUAUUCCGUAUCAAGGUAAUUUCGUAAUUAAUCUCAUACAGAGCCUAAGAAUUAAGCUAAUUGUUUUGAUAAAUGCGGAAUUGUAAUUGCAGAGUUCAGAUGCGAAGAACAACGGGAUGAUAAUAGUUCAAGAGAGUAGCAGCGAUUCAACAGGGUCAUUUGUGAUAUACGCACCGGUUGAUAUGAAUUCGAUCAAUGCAGUGAUUGGAGGGAGAGAUCCCGAUGAACUUCCGAUUUUGCCCUCGGGAAUGGCGAUUCUUCCAGAUGGAGGUGGAGGUUGUUUGGUGACGUUGGCAUUCCAGAUAUUGAUCGAGUCAGAU